This 519-nucleotide ribosomal RNA is filed under the name uncultured bacterium. Its description in RNAcentral is "bacterial SSU rRNA". It matches the Rfam family "Bacterial small subunit ribosomal RNA", at positions 8 to 524 of the family's 1533-position model. The record is from RNAcentral.
AGAGUUUGAUCAUGGCUCAGAUUGAACGCUGGCGGCAGGCCUAACACAUGCAAGUCGAGCGCGAAAGGGUUUCGGCCUGAGUAGAGCGGCGAACGGGUGAGUAACGCGUGGGAAUCUGCCUGGUAAUGGGGGAUAACGUUCCGAAAGGGGCGCUAAUACCGCAUACGCCCUAAGGGGGAAAGUGGGGGAUCUUCGGACCUCACGUUAUCAGAUGAGCCCGCGUCGGAUUAGCUAGUAGGUAGGGUAAAGGCCUACCUAGGCGACGAUCCGUAACUGGUCUGAGAGGAUGAUCAGUCACACUGGAACUGAGACACGGUCCAGACUCCUACGGGAGGCAGCAGUGGGGAAUAUUGGACAAUGGGGGCAACCCUGAUCCAGCCAUGCCGCGUGUGUGGAAGAAAGCCCUCGGGUUGUAAAGCACUUUAAGUUGGGAGGAAGGCUUUAAGGUUAAUACCCUUGAAGAUUGACGUUACCAACAGAAUAAGCACCGGCUAACUCCGUGCCAGCAGCCGCGGUAAU